Molecule: ribosomal RNA, 529 nt
Filed under: uncultured Basidiomycota
Lineage: Eukaryota; Fungi; Basidiomycota
Description: eukaryotic LSU rRNA
Rfam family: 5.8S ribosomal RNA (bases 188-341)
Source: RNAcentral
CAUUACUGAGUUAGGGUCUUUUCUGGCCCGACCUCCAACCCUUUGUUUACUAUACCCCAUGUUGCUUUGGCGGGCCUGCCUUUUGGGGCUGCCGGGGGCAUUAUUGCCCUUGACCCGUGCCUGCCAGGAGCCUUUUUAAAUUCUGUGUUGAACUGUGUUGUCUGAGUCCCAAUAUCAAAAUAUCAAAAACUUUCAACAACGGAUCUCUUGGUUCUGGCAUCGAUGAAGAACGCAGCGAAAUGCGAUAAGUAAUGCGAAUUGCAGAAUUCAGUGAGUCAUCGAAUCUUUGAACGCAUAUUGCGCCCUUUGGUAUUCCGAAGGGUAUGCCUGUUCGAGCGUCAUUAUCACAAUAUCAAGCUUGGCUUGUUGUUGGGCCCUUUGUCACCUGGUGACAGGUCCAAAAGACAAUAACCGGCGUCAUACAGACUCUAUAUGCAACGAGCUUAUAACAGCACGCAUCUGGUGGUCGUGUGGCCCGGUUUUCACUUUAAAUUUUUCAAGGUUGACCUCGGAUCAGGUAGGAAUACCC